UACGUAGGGGGCUAGCGUUAUCCGGAGUUACUGGGCGUAAAGGGUGCGUAGGUGGUUUCUUAAGUCAGAGGUGAAAGGCUACGGCUCAACCGUAGUAAGCCUUUGAAACUGGGGAACUUGAGUGCAGGAGAGGAGAGUGGAAUUCCUAGUGUAGCGGUGAAAUGCGUAGAUAUUAGGAGGAACACCAGUUGCGAAGGCGGCUCUCUGGACUGUAACUGACACUGAGGCACGAAAGCGUGGGGAGCAAACAGG
Molecule: ribosomal RNA, 252 nt
Filed under: uncultured bacterium
Lineage: Bacteria
Description: partial 16S ribosomal RNA
Rfam family: Bacterial small subunit ribosomal RNA
Source: RNAcentral